This 88-nucleotide microRNA precursor is filed under the name Nomascus leucogenys (northern white-cheeked gibbon). RNAcentral's name for it is "miRNA (ENSNLEG00000025681.2)". Lineage: Eukaryota; Metazoa; Chordata; Mammalia; Primates; Hylobatidae. The record is from RNAcentral.
GACUCUGGGACGCUCAGACGCCGCGCGGGGCGGGGAUUGGUCCCGUGCUCCUCUCUCGGCUCCUCGCGGCUCGCGGCGGCCGGCGGUU